RNAcentral lists this ribosomal RNA (495 nucleotides) under uncultured bacterium. Its description in RNAcentral is "partial 16S ribosomal RNA". It matches the Rfam family "Bacterial small subunit ribosomal RNA", at positions 28 to 507 of the family's 1533-position model. The record is from RNAcentral.
GACGAACGCUGGCGGCGUGCCUAAUACAUGCAAGUAGAACGCUGAAGGAGGAGCUUGCUUCUCUGGAUGAGUUGCGAACGGGUGAGUAACGCGUAGGUAACCUGCCUGGUAGCGGGGGAUAACUAUUGGAAACGAUAGCUAAUACCGCAUAACAGUAGAUAUCGCAUGAUAUCUACUUGAAAGGUGCAAUUGCAUCACUACCAGAUGGACCUGCGUUGUAUUAGCUAGUUGGUGAGGUAACGGCUCACCAAGGCGACGAUACAUAGCCGACCUGGGAGGGGGAUCGGCCACCCUGGGACUGGGACACGGCCCAGACUCCUACGGGAGGCAGCAGUAGGGAAUCUUCGGCAAUAGACGGAAGUCUGACCGAGCAACGCCGCGUGAGUGAAGAAGGUUUUCGGAUCGUAAAGCUCUGUUGUAAGAGAAGAACGAGUGUGGGAGUGGAAAGUUCACACUGUGACGGUAUCUUACCAGAAAGGGACGGCUAACUACGUG